Molecule: long non-coding RNA, 305 nt
Organism: Formica exsecta
Lineage: Eukaryota; Metazoa; Arthropoda; Insecta; Hymenoptera; Formicidae
Exons: 3
Source: RefSeq, a predicted model, not a curated record
CGUUGGCACAAUCUUUACCGGACGCCCUGUGUAUAUAUAUAUAUAUUUAACAAAAAAUAGGAGAGAUAUCUAUAUGUAUUAUGAUUCACUAACCACAUCAUUAACGAUGAACAAACUGUUGACGAAGAGGUUGAGGGAGCAGAAAAAUAUGCAUCAACUCCGGACGAUAUCUUUGCUUCAGCAUAACUCGCGGAUCCUUCAAGGGCGGAAAUGGAAGACCAAUGAUUAAUACAGCCCUACCAUUUGCAUUAGCGAAAUCCAGACCUUCGCUGACCUUUCCUCUGCACACCGCCAUGAAAACCGCC